Molecule: ribosomal RNA, 468 nt
Filed under: uncultured bacterium
Lineage: Bacteria
Description: partial 16S ribosomal RNA
Rfam family: Bacterial small subunit ribosomal RNA
Source: RNAcentral
GACGAACGCUGGCGGCGUGCUUAACACAUGCAAGUCGAACGGAAAGGCCCUGCUUUUGUGGGGUGGUCGAUUGGCGAACGGGGGAGUAUCACGUGAGUAACCUGCCCUUGACUUUUGGAUAACUUCAGGAAACUGGGGCUAAUAUCGGAUAGGAUCUCCUGCUGCAUGGGGGGGUUUGGAAAGUUUCGGCGGUUGGGGUUUGACUCGCGGCUUAUAAGCUUGUUGGUGGGGUAGUGACUUACCAAGGCUGUGAGGGGUACCCUACAUGAGAGGGUGACCGGCGACAAUGCGACUGGGAAAGGGAGCAGACUGCUAUGGGCGGCAGCAGUGGGGAAUCUUGCACAGUGGGAGGAAGCGUGAUGCAGAAACGCUGCGUGCGGGAUGAACGGCUACGGGUUGUAAACCGAUUUCGACUGUGCUGAAGAGUGAGUGACGGUAAUGGGUCAAGAAGCCACGGCUAACUACGUG